UACGUAGGGUGCGAGCGUUAAUCGGAAUUACUGGGCGUAAAGUGUGCGCAGGCGGCGUCGCAAGUCGAGUGUGAAAGCCCCGAGCUUAACUUGGGAAUUGCGCUCGAAACUACGGUGCUCGAGUGUGGCAGAGGAAGGUGGAAUUCCACGUGUAGCGGUGAAAUGCGUAGAGAUGUGGAGGAACACCGAUGGCGAAGGCAGCCUUCUGGGUCAACACUGACGCUCAUGCACGAAAGCGUGGGGAGCAAACAGG
Molecule: ribosomal RNA, 253 nt
Filed under: uncultured bacterium
Lineage: Bacteria
Description: partial 16S ribosomal RNA
Rfam family: Bacterial small subunit ribosomal RNA
Source: RNAcentral